RNAcentral lists this transfer RNA (84 nucleotides) under Cronobacter phage CR9. It matches the Rfam family "tRNA". From Rfam's summary of the family: Transfer RNA (tRNA) molecules are approximately 80 nucleotides in length. Their secondary structure includes four short double-helical elements and three loops (D, anti-codon, and T loops). Further hydrogen bonds mediate the characteristic L-shaped molecular structure. tRNAs have two regions of fundamental functional importance: the anti-codon, which is responsible for specific mRNA codon recognition, and the 3' end, to which the tRNAs corresponding amino acid is attached (by aminoacyl-tRNA synthetases). tRNAs cope with the degeneracy of the genetic code in two manners: having more than one tRNA (with a specific anti-codon) for a particular amino acid; and 'wobble' base-pairing, i.e. permitting non-standard base-pairing at the 3rd anti-codon position. The record is from Rfam by way of RNAcentral. Lineage: Duplodnaviria; Heunggongvirae; Uroviricota; Caudoviricetes.
GCUGUGAUAGACCGUAGGGGUAGCGGGGCAGACUGUAAAUCUGCUGUUCAUAGAACUCGGGUGGUUCGACUCCAUCUCGCAGCA